AAUAGAAAAGUUUAAAACGUUAAAUUGUAAAUUUAAAAUAAUUGCUUUGGGCAAUUUCUAUUA
RNAcentral lists this transfer RNA (63 nucleotides) under Tigriopus californicus. RNAcentral's name for it is "tRNA-Tyr". Lineage: Eukaryota; Metazoa; Arthropoda; Copepoda; Harpacticoida; Harpacticidae. The record is from RNAcentral.